This 339-nucleotide ribosomal RNA is filed under the name Anaplasma phagocytophilum. RNAcentral describes it as "bacterial SSU rRNA". It matches the Rfam family "Bacterial small subunit ribosomal RNA", at positions 104 to 437 of the family's 1533-position model. The record is from RNAcentral. Lineage: Bacteria; Pseudomonadati; Pseudomonadota; Alphaproteobacteria; Rickettsiales; Anaplasmataceae.
GGGUGAGUAACACGUAAGGAAUCUACCUAUAAGCGGGGGAUAACAUUCGGAAACGGGUGCUAAUACCGCAUAAUAUCUUCUUCCGCAUGGAGGAAGAUUGAAAGACGGCUCUGCUGUCACUUAUAGAUGACCUUGCGGUGCAUUAGUUAGUUGGUGGGGUAAUGGCCUACCAAGACGAUGAUGCAUAGCCGACCUGAGAGGGUGAUCGGCCACAUUGGGACUGAGACACGGCCCAAACUCCUACGGGAGGCAGCAGUAGGGAAUCUUCCGCAAUGGGCGAAAGCCUGACGGAGCAAUGCCGCGUGAGUGAAGAAGGCCUUCGGGUCGUAAAACUCUGUU